GGGUGAGUAACACGUGGGUGAUCUGCCCUGCACUUCGGGAUAAGCUUGGGAAACUGGGUCUAAUACCGGAUAGGAGCCAUCUUUAGUGUGGUGGUUGGAAAGUUUUUCGGUGUAGGAUGAGCUCGCGGCCUAUCAGCUUGUUGGUGGGGUAAUGGCCUACCAAGGCGGCGACGGGUAGCCGGCCUGAGAGGGUGUACGGCCACAUUGGGACUGAGAUACGGCCCAG
Molecule: ribosomal RNA, 226 nt
Filed under: uncultured Actinomycetales bacterium
Lineage: Bacteria; Bacillati; Actinomycetota; Actinomycetes; Actinomycetales
Description: partial 16S ribosomal RNA
Rfam family: Bacterial small subunit ribosomal RNA
Source: RNAcentral